GAUGAACGCUGGCGGCGUGCCUAAUACAUGCAAGUCGAGCGAACGGACGAGAAGCUUGCUUCUCUGAUGUUAGCGGCGGACGGGUGAGUAACACGUGGAUAACCUACCUAUAAGACUGGGAUAACUUCGGGAAACCGGAGCUAAUACCGGAUAAUAUUUUGAACAGCAUGGUUCAAAAGUGAAAGACGGUCUUGCUGUCACUUAUAGAUGGAUCCGCGCUGCAUUAGCUAGUUGGUAAGGUAACGGCUUACCAAGGCAACGAUGCAUAGCCGACCUGAGAGGGUGAUCGGCCACACUGGAACUGAGACACGGUCCAGACUCCUACGGGAGGCAGCAGUAGGGAAUCUUCCGCAAUGGGCGAAAGCCUGACGGAGCAACGCCGCGUGAGUGAUGAAGGUCUUCGGAUCGUAAAACUCUGCUAUUAGGGAAGAACAUAUGUGUAAGUAACUGUGCACAUCUUGACGGUACCUAAUCAGAAAGCCACGGCUAACUACGUG
RNAcentral lists this ribosomal RNA (497 nucleotides) under uncultured bacterium. RNAcentral's name for it is "partial 16S ribosomal RNA". It matches the Rfam family "Bacterial small subunit ribosomal RNA", at positions 28 to 507 of the family's 1533-position model. The record is from RNAcentral.